Molecule: ribosomal RNA, 433 nt
Filed under: uncultured bacterium
Lineage: Bacteria
Description: partial 16S ribosomal RNA
Rfam family: Bacterial small subunit ribosomal RNA
Source: RNAcentral
AACGAACGCUGGCGGCAUGCCUAACACAUGCAAGUCGAACGAGACCUUCGGGUCUAGUGGCGCACGGGUGCGUAACGCGUGGGAACCUGCCCUUAGGUUCGGAAUAACUCCCCGAAAGGGGUGCUAAUACCGGAUAAUGUCUUCGGACCAAAGAUUGAUCGCCUUUGGAUGGGCCCGAGUUGUAUUGGCUAGUUGUUAGGGUAAAAGCCUACCAAGGGGAGGAUCCAUAGCUGGUCAGAGAGGAUGAUCAGCCACACUGGGACUGGGCAACGGCCCAGACUACUAGGGGAGGCAGCAGUGGGGAAUAUUGGAAAAUGGGCGAAAGCCUGAUCCAGCAAUGCCGCGUGAGUGAUGAAGGCCGUAGGGUUGUAAAGCUCUUUUACCCGGGAUGAUAAUGACAGUACCGGGAGAAUAAGCUCCGGCUAACUCCGUG